RNAcentral lists this ribosomal RNA (468 nucleotides) under uncultured bacterium. RNAcentral's name for it is "partial 16S ribosomal RNA". It matches the Rfam family "Bacterial small subunit ribosomal RNA", at positions 28 to 507 of the family's 1533-position model. The record is from RNAcentral.
GACGAACGCUGGCGGCGUGCUUAACACAUGCAAGUCGAACGGAAAGGCCCUGCUUUUGUGGGGUGCUCGAGUGGCGAACGGGUGAGUAGCACGUGAGUAACCUGCCCUUGAUUUUGGGAUAACUUCAGGAAACUGGGGCUAAUACCGGAUAGGAGCUCCUGCUGCAUGGUGGGGGUUGGAAAGUUUCGGCGGUUGGGGAUGGACUCGCGGCUUAUCAGCUUGUUGGUGGGGUAGUGGCUUACCAAGGCUUUGACGGGUAGCCGGCCUGAGAGGGUGACCGGCCACAUUGGGACUGAGAUACGGCCCAGACUCCUACGGGAGGCAGCAGUGGGGAAUAUUGCACAAUGGGCGGAAGCCUGAUGCAGCAACGCCGCGUGCGGGAUGACGGCCUUCGGGUUGUAAACCGCUUUCGCCUGUGACGAAGCGUGAGUGACGGUAAUGGGUAAAGAAGCACCGGCUAACUACGUG